GCAAACUCAAGAGCUUUCACUCCACACUUGCCCACACGUUUUUGCCUCCAAGCUUCCAAGCUUUCAAGUGCUUAAGUGUCCUAGCUUUCCAAAGCUUCAAAAGCUCUUCAACUUUUUCUUCUAAUCUUCUUGUUCAUCUUUACAAGUAAGAAGUGUUGUUUGCUUUAAUAUUCCACUCCUCUAAUCACCUCUUGUGUGUGUCCACUUUGGUUGAGAGGGUUGUCUCAAUAGUAACAAAGUGUGAGAGUGAGAGAAGGUUUUCGAGCUCAACCAUAAAGCUCUAGUUUGGUUUUAUAGAGUUUCCGGGAAAACUCUUAGGUCGAAUCUACCUUGAAAGAUUUCUAGGUUUUUAAGAGUUCCUUGAUACUCUAAGGUACUAACUUACCCGUAAAAGUUAGAGGUUCUUAAGAGUGCCCUCGAUACUCUAAGGUGUGAGUCUACCCGUAAAAGACUGGUUCCUAAGCGAAGUAGCCUUAAAGCUUAGAGAGGUUUUUAAGAGUUCCUUAAUACUCUAAGGUACUAACUUACCCGCAAAAGUUAGAGGUUCUUAAGAGUGCCCUUGAUACUCUAAGGUGUGAGUCUACCCGUAAAAGACUGGUUCCUAAGCGAAGUAGCCUUAAAGCUUAGAGAGGUUCUUAAGAGUUUCCUUGAUAUUCUAAGGUUUUGCCAUAACCUUUAGGCGAGUGAAUUCUGGCAGUUGGUCUGGACUGGACUAGCCCUUGUUUGGGUGAACCAGUAUAAAUCUCUUGUGUUGUUCUUUGUUAACUCUAGUUUUUAUCUUUCAUCUAAAAACAACACUUAAUUGAAAAGGAUCCCUCUUCCAGUUAUCUGGUCAAAUGCAGAGGUUGACUACUUUACGCAGAUCCCUCAUCCAGUUAUCUGGUCAACUAUCUGAGGUUAUAUUAAUUGUUUUAAAUCCUUAUUCAUAUAUUUGUUCAAGCAUUUACUUAUCAUAUAUAUAUAUUCAGUUAUCUGGUCAUUUACUUGCUUAUCAAUAUAUCCAGUUAUCUGAUCAUUUACUUGUUUAUCAAUAUAUCCAGUUAUCUGGUCAUUUACUCUAUAAUAUAACUUGUGUUUAUAAUAUAACUUAGUAUUCAUAUACUAUAGUUGUUUAGUUGUUUAUAAAACACCAUCUGAAAAGUUGACUACGUAUUCAUAUACUGUAGUAAACUUCAAGAGCAAAAGGCAAGUCCAAUAUAUAUAAUAUUAUAAGAUAUAAUAUUAUAUUCUUUAAAAUCAUAUAAUAGUAUUAUAUUAUUAACAAUAUUAUACUAUUAUUAUUAUACAACCAUUUGUGUACUUAAGUGUGUGCAGGUAAUUCCGUUAUUAACUUGCAUAAAUCGAAAAAAUGCUAUUAUCCCCCCUUAUAGUCUCGGAUCUAGAUCCAACACUCUCGUCACGCGGAAGGCUAGCAUCACUGAAAGAAAUAAACCAAGGAAUAAGUUGUCAUCCAACUUCAAGGGUCCCUACAUCGUCGAAGAGGAGAUAAGGCCAGGAACUUAUCGCCUACGGCAACAGGAUGGAACAAUGGUUCCAAAUACCUGGCACGCGGACAAUAUGCAGCAAUACUAUGCUUAGCAUUCUUCCUCCCAUUCCUUAGGUCCUUUCAAUGUAUAUAGC
This 1620-nucleotide long non-coding RNA is filed under the name Zostera marina. Its description in RNAcentral is "long non-coding RNA (ZMAR_LNC001472)". Lineage: Eukaryota; Viridiplantae; Streptophyta; Magnoliopsida; Alismatales; Zosteraceae. The record is from RNAcentral.